This 499-nucleotide unclassified non-coding RNA is filed under the name Drosophila pseudoobscura pseudoobscura. RNAcentral describes it as "GA30551". Lineage: Eukaryota; Metazoa; Arthropoda; Insecta; Diptera; Drosophilidae. The record is from RNAcentral.
GUAAAUAAAUUUUGGAAACAUUAAAGGAUACAUAGAUCUUAGAGUACAGCACAAAAAUUUGGAACAACUUAUAAAUAGAUCUCCUGAGGGCCUGACUGUGCUUCAGUCUUUCAAAGCAAAAAAUUGCCUAAGCCAGGAACAGAGACAGUUUUUGGUUCAACUUCUCUUGGGGGAAGUUGAUAACAAUAGGAAUGCCAUCAAAAUGCAAACAUUAUGCACUUUACUUGACGAAAUAGUAGCUUUAUUUCCCUCCGAAGAAUCCAGGAAGAUUUUUGGAGCCUUGGAAGUGCAUCCUCUAUUCUUUGGCCGCAAUGGAAUUCCAAGGCAUUUGCAUAACGAUCUAUACUAAAUAAGUUUUCACACCAUUACAAAGUACAUUAAAUCAUAAUUAAUCUCAUAAAUGCUUUAAGAAUAUCUGUAGAAAUUUUUGUACACUAAGGAAAAUCUAAAUAAAUAUUUUUUUAUGGGAGGGGUGGAUCCUUCUCAUUGUUACAUAGCA